RNAcentral lists this non-coding RNA (704 nucleotides) under Teladorsagia circumcincta. Lineage: Eukaryota; Metazoa; Nematoda; Chromadorea; Rhabditida; Trichostrongylidae. The record is from RNAcentral.
UUAAAGAUUGCUUUUAUAAAUUUUAAAUUUGAUUAUAAUUUAAAAAGUUUUAAAAUAACAUUAUUUAAUUUUAAUUUGUGUAAUGGGCAAUAAAAUAUUACCCUGGUAAUUUAUUGUUUGUAUAAUACUUGUUCCAGAAUAAUCGGCUAGGCUUGUUAAAAUUUAAACUUUAUUUUGGGUUAAUUAUAAUAUAUUUUGAUAUAAUAAAAUUUAAACAGUUUUAGGUUAAAUUUAAAUUGUUUUUUUUUUUAUGUUAUAAUUUUAAGUUUUGUUAAACGAAUUAGAUUAGUACCUAAUUAGACAAAUUUUAAAAGUGCAGAAGUAAAGUUGGGUUUAAACUGAAAGAAUAUUGGCAGAUUUUCUAAAUUAUCUUUGGAGGUUGAGUGAUAAAUGAGAACCCCCAUUAACUACUAGUUUUUUUGGCUCAUGUAUGAUCGUUUAUUUUAUGCUUAAAGUGUAUAAUAAAAAAUUUUUAAUUUUUUAAAAUAGAUAUAUAUUUGGUUAAUAAAAAAGUAAUAUUUGGCCUACAUUGCUGUAAUUUGUGGAUAUUAAAUGUGGUAUUUAAUUGAAAAUGUAAAAGACAGUAAAAAAAUUUUUAUGGUUUUUUGAAGAGUAUUUAGAAGUGGUACAAAUCAUCCAUCAAUUGCCCCCAGGGGAGUAAGUUGUAGUAAAGUAGAUUUAGGGGAACCUGAAUCUAAUAUUAA